RNAcentral lists this ribosomal RNA (696 nucleotides) under uncultured bacterium. RNAcentral's name for it is "bacterial SSU rRNA". It matches the Rfam family "Bacterial small subunit ribosomal RNA", at positions 32 to 715 of the family's 1533-position model. The record is from RNAcentral.
AACGCUAGCUACAGGCUUAACACAUGCAAGUCGAGGGGAAACGAUAUUGGAAGCUUGCUUCCGAUAGGCGUCGACCGGCGCACGGGUGAGUAACGCGUAUCCAACCUGCCCAUCACUUGGGGAUAGCCUUGCGAAAGUAAGACUAAUACCCAAUGACGUCUCUAGAAGACAUCUGAAGGAGAUUAAAGAUUUAUCGGUGAUGGAUGGGGAUGCGUCUGAUUAGCUUGUUGGCGGGGUAACGGCCCACCAAGGCGACGAUCAGUAGGGGUUCUGAGAGGAAGGUCCCCCACAUUGGAACUGAGACACGGUCCAAACUCCUACGGGAGGCAGCAGUGAGGAAUAUUGGUCAAUGGGCGAGAGCCUGAACCAGCCAAGUAGCGCGUAGGAUGACGGCCCUAUGGGCUGUAAACUGCUUUUAUAAGGGAAUAAAGUGAGUCUCGUGAGACUUUUUGCAUGUACCUUAUGAAUAAGGACCGGCUAAUUCCGUGCCAGCAGCCGCGGUAAUACGGAAGGUCCGGGCGUUAUCCGGAUUUAUUGGGUUUAAAGGGAGCGUAGGCCGGAGAUUAAGCGUGUUGUGAAAUGUAGACGCUCAACGUCUGCACUGCAGCGCGAACUGGUUUCCUUGAGUACGCACAAAGUGGGCGGAAUUCGUGGUGUAGCGGUGAAAUGCUUAGAUAUCACGAAGAACUCCGAUUG